GCUCCCAUGUGGUAGUGCUGGUCACUGCGCUCGCCUUGCACGUGGGAGACCCGGGUUCGAUUCCCGGUGGGGUCA
Molecule: transfer RNA, 75 nt
Filed under: Diaphorina citri (Asian citrus psyllid)
Lineage: Eukaryota; Metazoa; Arthropoda; Insecta; Hemiptera; Psyllidae
Rfam family: tRNA
About the family: Transfer RNA (tRNA) molecules are approximately 80 nucleotides in length. Their secondary structure includes four short double-helical elements and three loops (D, anti-codon, and T loops).
Source: Rfam by way of RNAcentral